CCCAAGUAGCUGAGACUACAGGUGCACAUCACCACACCCAGGUCACUUCAGCAACGCGAUGGAAAAUGAAGAUGGAAAAGGGAGGUGGAGAGCAUGCCCUGGGGAGGUUUGCAGUUGUUUCUCUGCUGUAUUUGGAGGAGGCAGAUUCAGAAGCAGCUGUGGUAUAUGAAAGAAAGGAUGAAGGGAAAAGAGAAUUUUCUGAAGUAUGACUGAAAACUGAUGGAAGCCACAGGGAACUUAUUUGAUAUCUUCUGCUGUUUUCAUACACUGAGAUCUUUUGACUGCUGUGUUGCUCUUAGAAUAAACAGUAUUAGUUAUGGCCUUA
Molecule: long non-coding RNA, 325 nt
Organism: Macaca mulatta (Rhesus monkey)
Lineage: Eukaryota; Metazoa; Chordata; Mammalia; Primates; Cercopithecidae
Source: RefSeq, a predicted model, not a curated record